AUCACCUGGAGACCUUGUUAACGUGCGGAUUCUGAUUCAUUAACCUGAGAUGGAAUCGGAGAUUCUGCAUUUGUAACAAGCUCCAAGGUGAUGCUAG
This 97-nucleotide microRNA precursor is filed under the name Myotis davidii. RNAcentral describes it as "mir-544 microRNA precursor family". It matches the Rfam family "mir-544 microRNA precursor family". Lineage: Eukaryota; Metazoa; Chordata; Mammalia; Chiroptera; Vespertilionidae. The record is from Rfam by way of RNAcentral.